AUUUAUAUAGUAUACCGCUUAUUAUAUUUGAUUUCCAAUUAAAAGAACUAACUUUGAUUAGUAUAAAUA
This 69-nucleotide transfer RNA is filed under the name Agyrtodes labralis. RNAcentral describes it as "tRNA-Gly". Lineage: Eukaryota; Metazoa; Arthropoda; Insecta; Coleoptera; Leiodidae. The record is from RNAcentral.